CUUGACCGAGCGACGCCGCGUGCGGGAUGAAGGCCUUCGGGUUGUAAACCGCGAAAGUAGGGAGGAAAUCGCUGGGGGUUCUCCCCCAGUGUUGACCUAUCUUCAGUAAGGACGGGCUAAGUUCGUGCCAGCAGCCGCGGUAAUACGAACCGUCCAAACGUUAUUCGGAUUUAUUGGGCUUAAAGGGUAUGUAGGCGGCCCUUCAAGUCGGGUGUGAAAGCCCUCGGCUCAACCGAGGAACUGCGCCCGAUACUGUGGGGCUCGAGGGAGACAGAGGUAAGCGGAACUGAUGGUGGAGCGGUGAAAUGCGUUGAUAUCAUCAGGAACACCAGUGGCGAAAGCGGCUUACUGGGUCUCUUCUGACGCUGAGAUACGAAAGCUAGGGGAGCGAACGGGAUUAGAUACCCCGGUAGUCCUAGCUGUAAACGAUGAGCACUUGAUCGAGGGGCCCCCCAUAGCCUCUCGGUCGUAGCGAAAGUGAUAAGUGCUCCGCCUGGGGAGUAUGGUCGCAAGGCUG
Molecule: ribosomal RNA, 517 nt
Filed under: uncultured Planctomycetota bacterium
Lineage: Bacteria; Pseudomonadati; Planctomycetota
Description: bacterial SSU rRNA
Rfam family: Bacterial small subunit ribosomal RNA
Source: RNAcentral